This 573-nucleotide small RNA is filed under the name Pan troglodytes (chimpanzee). RNAcentral's name for it is "processed transcript". Lineage: Eukaryota; Metazoa; Chordata; Mammalia; Primates; Hominidae. The record is from RNAcentral.
AGAUGCUGCCAGGGUCCCUGAAGAGGGAAGACACGCGGAAACAGAAAGGCCUUUUCCACCUCAUAUCCAGCUCCCUCCAGAAAUUCAAGAGUCCCAGGAAGUCACUCUGACCUGCUUGCUGAAUUUCUCCUGCUAUGGGUAUCCGAUCCAAUUGCAGUGGCUCCUAGAGGGGGUUCCAAUGAGGCAGGCUGCUGUCACCUCGACCUCCUUGACCAUCAAGUCUGUCUUCACCCGGAGCGAGCUCAAGUUCUCCCCACAGUGGAGUCACCAUGGGAAGAUUGUGACCUGCCAGCUUCAGGAUGCAGAUGGGAAGUUCCUCUCCAAUGACACGGUGCAGCUGAACGUGAAGCACACCCCGAAGUUGGAGAUCAAGGUCACUCCCAGUGAUGCCAUAGUGAGGGAGGGGGAGUCUGUGACCAUGACCUGCGAGGUCAGCAGCAGCAACCCGGAGUACACGACGAUAUCCUGGCUCAAAGAUGGGACCUCGCUGAAGAAGCAGAAUACACUCAUGCUAAAUCUGCACGAAGUGACCAAGGACCAGAGUGGGAAGUACUGCUGUCAGGUCUCCAAUGA